Neltuma alba is the source of this 529-nucleotide long non-coding RNA. RefSeq lists it as uncharacterized. The transcript is spliced from 3 exons. The record is from RefSeq and is a predicted model, not a curated record. Lineage: Eukaryota; Viridiplantae; Streptophyta; Magnoliopsida; Fabales; Fabaceae.
GGGACCUUGCUCAAGAAAUGGCAGAGCUUAGAUAUCAAGUUACAGGUUUGUUAGAAGAAGAACGUAAGCAUCGUGCUCGCAUUGAACAGGCAUCCUUGCAAAGAAUUGCCGAGUUAGAAGCGCAGCUUCAAAGAGAACAGAGAAAAUCUUUAUUUGCUGUCCGCGGUCUCCCUGAAGUGUAGAAACUGGAAUUAUUCAAAGUUUUUCAAGUUCAUCAGAAGAGACUCAUCUUAGAGAUGUACUGAAAGAUGUAGGAUGUCUUCUCAUGCCUUGGUUCCUGGAGAAGAGAAAUGAAGUGGCUGUACAGAAGAACUAGCUCGUGCGUGUUACAGUGUAUUUUGUGAUAUGGGGUGCAAGAAUUGAUAUAAACACAUUGAAUUUUUGUACAGAUGCCUGCGAUCUCUCUCUCUCUCUCUCUCUCUCUCUCUCGCUUCUUUCUUGCAAUAGUCUUGAUCAGGGUGGGAAUGUCUGUUGUGAAGGAUUGACUUUUAGGUCAAAUUCUGUCAUUUGAAAUUUUGCUAUUUUUUUA